CCUACGGGUGGCAGCAGUGAGGAAUAUUGGUCAAUGGGCGAAAGCCUGACGCAGCGACGCCGCGUGGAGGAAGAAGGCCUUCGGGUCGUAAACUCCUGUCAAGAGGGACGAAUCCCCAACGGAUGAAUAAGCCGCUGGGUUGACGGUACCUCUGAAGGAAGCCCCGGCUAACUCCGUGCCAGCAGCCGCGGUAAUACGGAGGGGGCAAGCGUUGUUCGGAAUUAUUGGGCGUAAAGGGCACGUAGGCGGUCAAGCAAGUUGGUGGUGAAAGCCCUCGGCUCAACCGGGGAAUUGCCCCCAAAACUGCUUGACUUGAGUCCCGGAGAGGGUGGCGGAAUUCCCAGUGUAGCGGUGAAAUGCGUAGAUAUUGGGAGGAACACCAUUGGCGAAGGCGGCCACCUGGACGGGUACUGACGCUGAGGUGCGAAAGCGUGGGGAGC
RNAcentral lists this ribosomal RNA (440 nucleotides) under uncultured bacterium. RNAcentral's name for it is "bacterial SSU rRNA". It matches the Rfam family "Bacterial small subunit ribosomal RNA", at positions 338 to 769 of the family's 1533-position model. The record is from RNAcentral.